Molecule: long non-coding RNA, 419 nt
Filed under: Zalophus californianus (California sea lion)
Lineage: Eukaryota; Metazoa; Chordata; Mammalia; Carnivora; Otariidae
Description: lncRNA (ENSZCAG00015022091.1)
Source: RNAcentral
GGCAGCCUCAGCCAGCCCAGGGCCCUGCUUCCUGGGCCUCUGCACGGACUUCAGGACAACUCCAAAGUCAAUGUUUACCCACCUCACUGGCCUUCGGGAAAGCCAGAGUAUGGGAGUGCGGUGGACGUGACCUGCUUUGUCUCUCCACUCCAAGCGUGGUGUCCUCACCCCCAGCCACAGGGCCCAAGUCCUCCUCCAAAUACAUCCAGGUGGAGCAGAGUGGUGAGCCAGGCAGCUGGGAGCUGCCAUCCGGCGAAGCCAGUAGAUAAGACCAGUCCCAGAGGUUGAGGCUGCAUGCAAGAGAACAUGUGACAGGGGCGCCUGGGUGGCUCAGUCGUUAAGCGUCUGCCUUCAGCUCAGGUCAUGAUCCCAGAGUCCUGGGAUCGAGUCCUGCAUCGGGCUCCCUGCUCAGCGGGGAG